AGCAGCCGCGGUAAUUCCAGCUCCAAUAGCGUAUAUUAAAGUUGUUGCAGUUAAAAAGCUCGUAGUUGAAUUUCGGGGUCUGUCCGUCGGUCGGGCUUCACAGUCCGUACUGGUGUGAUGGGUUCCUACCUUCUGAAUAACCGGCAUGCCAUUCAGUUGGUGCGCCGGGGAAGCAGAGCUAUUACCUUGAAAAAAUUAGAGUGCUUAAAGCGGGCUAGUGCUUGAAUAGAUUAGCAUGGAAUAAUAAAAUAGGACGGCAUGGUUCUAUUUUGUUGGUUUCUAGGAUCACCGUAAUGAUUAAUAGGGAUAGUUGGGGGCAUUAGUAUUCAAUUGUCAGAGGUGAAAUUCUUGGAUUUAUUGAAGACUAACUUCUGCGAAAGCAUUUGCCAAGGAUGUUUUCAUUAAUCAAGAACGAAAGUUAGGGGAUCGAAGACGAUCAGAUACCGUCGUAGUCUUAACCAUAAACUAUGCCGACUAGGGAUCGGACGAUGUUAAUUUUUAAUGACUCGUUCGCGCCUUA
RNAcentral lists this ribosomal RNA (520 nucleotides) under uncultured Acaulospora. RNAcentral describes it as "SSU rRNA". It matches the Rfam family "Eukaryotic small subunit ribosomal RNA", at positions 569 to 1090 of the family's 1831-position model. The record is from RNAcentral. Lineage: Eukaryota; Fungi; Glomeromycota; Glomeromycetes; Diversisporales; Acaulosporaceae.